RNAcentral lists this ribosomal RNA (522 nucleotides) under uncultured bacterium. Its description in RNAcentral is "bacterial SSU rRNA". It matches the Rfam family "Bacterial small subunit ribosomal RNA", at positions 8 to 526 of the family's 1533-position model. The record is from RNAcentral.
AGAGUUUGAUCCUGGCUCAGAUUGAACGCUGGCGGAAUGCUUUACACAUGCAAGUCGAGCGGCAGCGCGGGGCAACCUGGCGGCGAGCGGCGAACGGGUGAGUAAUGCAUCGGAACAUGUCCAUGUCGUAGGGGAUAGCCCGGCGAAAGCCGGAUUAAUACCGCAUACGCCCGAGAGGGGAAAGCAGGGGACCGCAAGGCCUUGCGCGAUUGGGUUGGCCGAUGUCCGAUUAGCUUGUUGGUGAGGUAAAGGCUUACCAAGGCGAUGAUCGGUAGCUGGUCUGAGAGGAUGAUCAGCCACACUGGGACUGAGACACGGCCCAGACUCCUACGGGAGGCAGCAGUGGGGAAUUUUGGACAAUGGGGGCAACCCUGAUCCAGCCAUUCCGCGUGAGUGAAGAAGGCCUUCGGGUUGUAAAGCUCUUUUGUCCGGAGCGAAACGGGCGGCCCUAAUACGGUCGUCUACUGACGGUACCGGAAGAAUAAGCACCGGCUAACUACGUGCCAGCAGCCGCGGUAAUAA